GACGAACGCUGGCGGCGUGCUUAACACAUGCAAGUCGAACGGAAAGGCCUGCUUUCCCUUGUGGAUUGCGGGUACUCGAGUGGCGAACGGGUGAGUAACACGUGAGUGAUCUGCCCCCAACUUGGGUAUAAGCCUGGGAAACUGGGUCUAAUUCCCGAUAGGACUGCAGGGUGGUGCCUGUGGUGGAAAACGAUUUUCUAGUGGUUGGGGAUGAGCUCGCGGCCUAUCAGCUUGUUGGUGGGGUAAUGGCCUACCAAGGCGGCGACGGGUAGCCGGCCUGGGAGGGUGGACGGCCACAUUGGGACUGAGAUACGGCCCAGACUCCUACGGGAGGCAGCAGUGGGGAAUAUUGCACAAUGGGCGGUGGCCUGAUGCAGCGACGCCGCGUGGGGGAUGACGGCCUUCGGGUUGUAAACUCCUUUCGACCGCGAGGAAGCCACCUGGUUGGAAGGGUGGUGACGGUAGUGGUAGAAGAAGCACCGGCUAACUACGUG
This 494-nucleotide ribosomal RNA is filed under the name uncultured bacterium. RNAcentral describes it as "partial 16S ribosomal RNA". It matches the Rfam family "Bacterial small subunit ribosomal RNA", at positions 28 to 507 of the family's 1533-position model. The record is from RNAcentral.